Molecule: non-coding RNA, 90 nt
Organism: Acanthosepion pharaonis
Lineage: Eukaryota; Metazoa; Mollusca; Cephalopoda; Sepiida; Sepiidae
Source: the annotation of a GenBank genome assembly
CUUGUUUCCGUACGAUUACCGAAGUUAAGCAACAUUGAACCUAAUCAGUACCUAGAUGGGUAACCGUUUGCGAAUACCAGGCGCUGUAAG